GAUGAACGCUGGCGGCGUGCUUAACACAUGCAAGUCGAACGAUGAAGCCCAGCUUGCUGGGUGGAUUAGUGGCGAACGGGUGAGUAACACGUGAGUAACCCGCCCUUGACUCUGGGAUAAGCGCUGGAAACGGCGUCUAAUACCGGAUACGAGCUUCCACCGCAUGGUGAGUUGCUGGAAAGAAUUUCGGUCAAGGAUGGACUCGCGGCCUAUCAGGUAGUUGGUGAGGUAACGGCUCACCAAGCCGACGACGGGUAGCCGGCCUGAGAGGGUGACCGGCCACACUGGGACUGAGACACGGCCCAGACUCCUACGGGAGGCAGCAGUGGGGAAUAUUGCACAAUGGGCGCAAGCCUGAUGCAGCAACGCCGCGUGAGGGACGAAGGCCUUCGGGUCGUAAACCUCUUUUAGCAGGGAAGAAGCGAAAGUGACGGUACCUGCAGAAAAAGCACCGGCUAACUACGUG
RNAcentral lists this ribosomal RNA (466 nucleotides) under uncultured bacterium. RNAcentral's name for it is "partial 16S ribosomal RNA". It matches the Rfam family "Bacterial small subunit ribosomal RNA", at positions 28 to 507 of the family's 1533-position model. The record is from RNAcentral.